GCUGAUGUUACCAGCUCUUAACGAUGCAGUGAAAUGCUGAUGUUACCAGCUCUUAACAAUGAGGUGAAAUGCUGAUGUUACCAGCUCUUAACGAUGCAGUGAAUUGCUGAUGUUACCAGCUCUUAACAAUGCAGUGAAAUGCUGAUGUUACCAGCUCUUAACAAUGAGGUGAAAUGCUGAUGUUACCAGCUCUUAACAAUGAGGUGAAAUGCUGAUGUUACCAGCUCUUAACAAUGAGGUGAAAUGCUGAUGUUACCAGCUCUUAACAAUGCAGUGAAAUGCUGAUGUUACCAGCUCUUAACAAUGCAGUGAAAUGCUGAUGUUACCAGCUCUUAACAAUGCAGUGAAAUGCUGAUGUUACCAGCUCUUAACAAUGCAGUGAAAUGCUGAUGUUACCAGCUCUUAACAAUGCAGUGAAAUGCUGAUGUUACCAGCUCUUAACAAUGCAGUGAAAUGCUGAUGUUACCAGCUCUUAACAAUGAGGUGAAAUGCUGAUGUUACCAGCUCUUAACAAUGCAGUGAAAUGCUGAUGUUACCAGCUCUUAACAAUGCAGUGAAAUGCUGAUGUUACCAGCUCUUAACAAUGAGGUGAAAUGCUGAUGUUACCAGCUCUUAACAAUGCAGUGAAAUGCUGAUGUUACCAGCUCUUAACAAUGCGGUGAAAUGCUGAUGUUACCAGCUCUUAACAAUGAGGUGAAAUGCUGAUGUUACCAGCUCUUAACAAUGAGGUGAAAUGCUGAUGUUACCAGCUCUUAACAAUGCAGUGAAAUACUGAUGUUACCAGCUCUUAACAAUGCAGUGAAAUGCUGAUGUUACCAGCUCUUAACAAUGCAGUGAAAUGCUGAUGUUACCAGCUCUUAACAAUGCAGUGAAAUGCUGAUGUUACCAGCUCUUAACAAUGCAGUGAAAUGCUGAUGUUACCAGCUCUUAACAAUGCAGUGAAAUGCCGAUGUUACCAGCUCCUAACAAUGCAGUGAAAUGCUGAUGUUACUAGCUCUUAACAAUGCAGUGAAAUGCUGAUGCUACUAGCUCUUAACAAUGCAGUGAAAUGCUGAUGUUAAUGUCUCUUAACAAUGCAGUGAAAUGUCAAAUUAUUCCAAAAGAAAUGAUUGAAACAUAAAAACAGACUGUGCAGUAUAAAUGCUGUGUCUGUGCAGUAUAAAAAAUGAGUCUAUUCAUUAUAAUUAAUUAGCUAUGAAAUUACAUCUGGCUAUCACUAUCUCAAUAUUAUGGUCCCCACUAUCUCAAUAUUAUGGCCCUCACUAUCUCAAUAUUAUGGCCCUCACUAUCUCAAUAUUAUGGUCCUCACUAUCUCAAUAUUAUGGCCCUCUCUAUCUCAAUAUUAUGGCCAUCAAUAUCUCAAUAUUAUGCCCUCACUAUCUCAAUAUUAUGACCCUCACUAUCUCAAUAUUAUGGCCCUCACUAUCUCAAUAUUAUGGCCCUCACUAUCUCAAUAUUAUGGUCCUCACUAUCUCAAUAUUAUGGUCCUCACUAUCUCAAUAUUAUGGUCCUCACUAUCUCAAUAUUAUGGUCCUCACUAUCUCAAUAUUAUGGCCCUCGCUAUCUCAAUAUUAUGGUCCUCACAAUCUCAAUAUUAUGGUCCUCACUAUCUCAAUAUUAUGGCCCUCACUAUCUCAAUAUUAUGGCCCUCACUAUCUCAAUAUUAUGGUCCUCACUAUCUCAAUAUUAUGGCCCUCUCUAUCUCAAUAUUAUGGCCAUCAAUAUCUCAAUAUUAUGCCCUCACUAUCUCAAUAUUAUGACCCUCACUAUCUCAAUAUUAUGGCCCUCACUAUCUCAAUAUUAUGGCCCUCACUAUCUCAAUAUUAUGGUCCUCACUAUCUCAAUAUUAUGGUCCUCACUAUCUCAAUAUUAUGGUCCUCACUAUCUCAAUAUUAUGGUCCUCACUAUCUCAA
Molecule: long non-coding RNA, 1913 nt
Organism: Oncorhynchus keta (chum salmon)
Lineage: Eukaryota; Metazoa; Chordata; Actinopteri; Salmoniformes; Salmonidae
Exons: 3
Source: RefSeq, a predicted model, not a curated record